CAAUCAUCAACCACAUUACAUCAACACCUUGAGGCCAGAUCCACAUCUUAUCAUCCCCCGAAACCAGGUAGAAAUGACAAAGCUGUCCACAGACACUGUCCUCAGCCAAUCACUUGCUGUGGUGUUGUCAUGUGACCCACCUACUGCUGAAGAGGAACUGCA
Molecule: long non-coding RNA, 162 nt
Organism: Seriola dumerili (greater amberjack)
Lineage: Eukaryota; Metazoa; Chordata; Actinopteri; Carangiformes; Carangidae
Exons: 3
Source: RefSeq, a predicted model, not a curated record